Molecule: long non-coding RNA, 1104 nt
Organism: Passer domesticus (house sparrow)
Lineage: Eukaryota; Metazoa; Chordata; Aves; Passeriformes; Passeridae
Exons: 4
Source: RefSeq, a predicted model, not a curated record
GAGACCUGGGAUGUUUAAGCAGCACCCCCGGAGAGAGUGAUAGAGACUGUGCUGGCAGCAAAGCCAGCCAGAAGUGGGGGAUGCGGCGAGAGAAGGUGCCCGGCAGCUGUGGGAGUCCUGGGCAGACAGAGGUGAAGAUUUUAAUCCCUCGGUAGAAUAAUGGAAACCUUACAAAUUCUGAUCCUCCUGAAUCAGAAUGAGGAGAGAGAGAUGAAGCAUGACUAAAUAGGCACGUGUGAAGAAAGCGAUUACAAGUGAGAGAUGUUAAAAGCAGUAAGAAGAAUCCUAAGUAAGAAGAGAUGAUGGAGUAGCCUUGGGCUAGACUCUUUCUUGUAUAGCCAUGAACAGACCCAUGUUUUCCUGUGACCCAAAGACUGUAUUUAAGGGGAGGCAAUACCUUAGAGUCAAAAGUGAAGCAGUAGCAUGAACAGAGACAGCUGAGGAAGAUGUGGGAUGCCCUCUGUCUCUGUGGAGAGGAAGAUCUCAGUUCAUGAAGCCCCUCGACCCCAGGGGGUGAAAUUUAAGGGGGACUGGUGUCCCGAAGUUGAGAAGUGAAACAGUAGUGAAAACAGAGACAACUGAAAAAAGUGUGGGAUGCCCUCUGUAGAGAGGAAAAUCUCUGUUCAUUAAGAACUCUUGACUAAUGCCAGCCUUGAACACUUGAAAAACUCCAGAUUCAGACCCUAAAAUAAUAAAGAACAGUUAAAAAAUUUUGAAGAGAAUAUUAUGAUAGAACAAUAUAUCUAGAUGCAAUUUAAAAAGAAGCUAUAGCAAGAUUUUUGAUAAAGGGCUGGCAACAUCUCUGGUGUGCGUGUGGAGCCCUCUGAACUUCCUGGACACAAAUGAACAUUAAAUCUGCCUACACUUAAAAACUAUGCUGUCAAUGCAAAGGGGAUUUGCUUGGGAAGACCAGCUGUCUGUGAGUAUCUGUGUGUUGCAGUUUGACUCCUUUGAGAGCAACCUCAAAACACGGCAGCAAGGCAGAGAAUAAUCAAUGGAAGUAUCAAAGAAGCCACAGAAAGUCUGUCAACACUGUGGAGCAGCACAGCUGACAUGGCUCUGUGUAAGGUUUCUCCUUGAACUCGACUCAUCCAUGAGCUGCAG